Non-coding RNA from Podarcis lilfordi (Lilford's wall lizard), 74 nucleotides. The record is from the annotation of a GenBank genome assembly. NCBI's taxonomy places the organism in Eukaryota, Metazoa, Chordata, Lepidosauria, Squamata, Lacertidae.
AACAGGAUAGCUCAGUUGGUAGAGCAUGAGACUCUUCAUCUCAGGGCCAUGGGUCCAAGCCCCUUGUUGGGUGA